Molecule: ribosomal RNA, 253 nt
Filed under: uncultured bacterium
Lineage: Bacteria
Description: partial 16S ribosomal RNA
Rfam family: Bacterial small subunit ribosomal RNA
Source: RNAcentral
UACGUAGGGUGCAAGCGUUAAUCGGAAUUACUGGGCGUAAAGCGUGCGCAGGCGGUUCUGUAAGACCGUUGUGAAAUCCCCGGGCUCAACCUGGGAACUGCAUCUGUGACUGCAUAGCUAGAGUACGGUAGAGGGGGAUGGAAUUCCGCGUGUAGCAGUGAAAUGCGUAGAUAUGCGGAGGAACACCGAUGGCGAAGGCAAUCCCCUGGACCUGUACUGACGCUCAUGCACGAAAGCGUGGGGAGCAAACAGG